RNAcentral lists this long non-coding RNA (4460 nucleotides) under Canis lupus familiaris (dog). RNAcentral's name for it is "lncRNA (ENSCAFG00000055396.1)". Lineage: Eukaryota; Metazoa; Chordata; Mammalia; Carnivora; Canidae. The record is from RNAcentral.
AAGACCACAGGGAAAUAGAAGGACUGAGAAAUGGCCGCUGGAUUUGGCAAGUCUUCAUGGUUGGCUUUAGCAAGGAUAUUUCCAGGGCAGAGUAUGGGGGUGAAGGUGGGGAAGAAGUAAGGCAGGUCCCUGGGAGUGAAUGUGAAGUGAAGAAUUAAAAGUUUUAAGGAUCCAUGGCCCUUUAUGGGAGAUAAGACAGGAAAAUUGAGGAAGAGAGAAAGGAAGAGCUGGAAAGUAGUUGAUGGGCCCAAACCAAAGGAGAGUUUCUGAUUUUCCUAAUGGGAGAAACCUAAACCUGGUUCUUUAAAAAAAAAAAAAAAAAAGCAUGUUUUUAGACUAAAGAUCUUGGAGAAAUUAGAUAUGAUGAAUGGAGCACGCUCCUUGAAGAGAUGGAGAACAAUGGGCUAAAAACCAUAAGUGGGGUGACUAGCUUGAAAUGGGGGCUUCAUUGUGAAGGAUGGAGACAAAAUCAGGAUAAAGCACAGAUGAGCUGGGUCAUUGGAAGGAGGGUGGUUCGUCCCCAGUGACUUCAAACUCCCUCUCACGCCCAAGACAGAAUUGCUGCCAGGAAAGCAAGCAUUUGGGGUCAGGCCACCUCGAGGAUUCGGUGCGUGGGCUCAGCCUGGAUUUCCAAUUAGGUCGAAGCCAUGGCAUGUCAGGCCCCAUCACAGGGACUUCCCAGGUGAUGAUGAUGUCUUCAUACCUGGAAUCUGUCAUGGCUCUGAGUCGGCAAUCUGGGAGGCUAAUCAUCAUGGCAGGAUUUCUGAUACUGCCCCUGACUUAAUAAGACAUUGUGGGGGUGUUUUUGUUGUUGUUUGUUUUUACUUUUGUUUGCUUGAUCUCACGUUUACUAUUGUCUCACUAAAACAAACAAACAAACAAAAAACUUAUAAAAGGAUAAAGUAUUAAAAGCGUAUGUAAAAGGCCUUGGAGGAUUGCGCAGGUUAUACAGUCUGUACUGAACCCCUAAGUUAUCCAGAUCGUUUCAAGCAUUUUUUGACCUGUCUGGAGGUAUCUUACUUUUAGAAAACCAAUUCCAGAAUGUUUCAUAAGAGUCAGCUGAUUCCUCUGCAAUCAGUCUUCCACUUGAUUUAUUGCUUGAUAAGAAAAUAUCCUAAUUAGGUUAACUUUAGUGCUGGCAUAUGGUUAUUGGAAUAUCGACAUUUUAACACCAAUUAGGCUACACUCUUAAUCGCAUUUUCUUGAUAGUCUCCUUUAUCACUUUAUUGAAUUAUGAGAAUAAUCUUAUCUUUCUUUCCUACUUAUAUCUUAACAAUAUUUUUUCUUCUAAAGGGAAUUAAAGAAAAAAAAUUCACGUAGCACUAACACCUGCUAUAAAAACCAUAAUACAUACAAGAGCGUACACGUGUGUUAACCCAGACUCGAGGUAUUUUGUUAGCUGCGUGUUCAGAGUUUGUUGCUUUGGUGUCAGACCAUUUUCUGAGGUUUCCAAAUAUAGGUAGGAAUAGACACAUGCAUUUUGAUAGCUGCCAAUCUCAGCCUCUUCCGAGUACUAUUUGGAGCACAUGCCGUAUCCUACAUCUUUCAGUCCUACUAUAGGAAUACUGAAUUUUAUACAUUUUAAUAACCAUGCUGAGGAGUAUUUGAUUCAUUUCCAGUCUCCCUGUCCCCUUCUCUUCCACAGAAAACCAGCUGGCUAUCUUACCCCUCAUUCUCACUACCCUCACCCAUAACACUUCUUUGUGGACAUGUUUUAUAGAGUUCUGAAAGUCACAAAUUCAAAAGUUUGCCCUUUCGGGGGCCACAAUAAGGAAUUUCGGGAAGCAAGAGGGAGAUGGCGGGUAUGUUUAUUUCACUCCAAGGAGAAACUGGAUAAAAUGCGCAUGUUAAUAAAAGUCUUCUGCAAUCAAAUUUCGGAAUACGGAGAAAAGGAGAUGAAAAAUCAGCCUCUAUAAAAUAUCUUUGUGUUUGACUAUGGGGAUGAAGCCUUCAGGAAAAGGAAGGUUGAAACGGUCUGGAGUUCUGAGAGCAAGAAUAUUGAUAAUAGAAUGUGGACAUUUUGCUUGAUGUCUCCUGGUAACAAGGUUGUCAGAUUUAGCAAAGAGAAAUACAGGCUGCUCAGGCAAAUUUGAAUCCCAGAUGACCACAGUGAAUGAUUCAUAGGAUAAGUGUGUCCCUGAUAUUUCAUGAGUACCUUACAUUCCACCUACUAACAUUCCCUGGGGGAGGGUCAGAAUGUGGCAGGUAACAGGGAACCAGGGAGAAGCCAGGUCCUGAAAGUCUGGGUGAAUGGGCAGUUCCAAACCAGAGAGCAGAAGGUGUCCUGAGGGAGGCUAUCAUUGGACAGGAAGUGACAGGAACGUAAGGGAAGGUACUCAGGAGGACGGAAUGGGAUCAAGGACAGGAAUGUUUCUGCCACCAGCCAUUCUCACCCUUUUCCUAUUCUUUUGCUGUCUAACGGCAAGGCCACCCGCGCAUGUGUGGCUUUGGAAAUAGGCUUAGGUUUUAACCCUGCCAGUGCCACUUCCUAUAAAUUGAUGGUCUUUAUAAAUGACUUCCUAUAAAUUGAUGGUCAUCAAUAUCUCUGAGUCACAUUUGUCCCAGCUCGUAAAAUGAAAAGAUUACCGUGAAGACCAAAUGACUUCUUGAAGCACCUUGAAUCAGAGUCUUGGCCACACCAAAUAGACUGCCACUUGUUUUGAUCUCACAAUUACGACGACUGCCUUUCUUAAAACUCAAACAGAAUAUUUCAUACAUUUCUCUGGAUAAUACCUCACUCUAUUUUAUUGCUGGCUCAACUUCCUUUAAUCGAAAUUGAUUGUGAAGAUAGUCUUCAAUAUUUACAUUGACAGAUGAGUCUAGCAGCUUAAGAUGUGGGCUCUCUAGCUAUAUUGCUUGGAUCCCAAGCUGCUUCAAAUAUGUCUUUUCAGGCAAAGGAAACAAAAGCAAAAAUAAGCUAUUGGGACUACACAAAAAUAAAAAGCUUUUGCCCAGCUAAGGAAACCAUCCACAAAUCAAAAGGCAACCUACUGAAUAGGAGAACAUAUAUAAAUGAUAUAUCCAUUAAGGGGCUAGUGUCCAAAAUAUCUAAAUAUCUACACAACCAAACAACAAGGAAAAAAAAUACCCAAAUAAUCCAAUUAAAGGUGGACAGAAGACCCGAAUAGACAUUUUCCAAAGAGACAUACAAGUGGCCAGCACACAGAUGAAAAGGUGCUCAACUUCACUAAUCAUCGGGGGAAUGCAAAUCAAAACCACAAUGAGAUACCAUCUGACACCUGUCAAAUGGCUGGAACCAAAAAGACGAGAAAUAGUGUUGGCAACAAUAUGGAGAAGGGAAGCAUCGUGCGCUGUCGGGGGCGGGGGGGACCUAAAUUGGUACAGUCGUUGUGGAAAACAGUAUGGAGGUUCCUCAUAAUUUUUUUUAAAUAAAAAUAAAACUACCAUAUUAUCCAAUAAUUUUUCCACUGGGUAUUUACCCAAGGAGUGUGAAAAGACUGAUUUGAGAAGAUACAUGCACCCCUGUGUUUAUUGCAGCAUUAUUUACAACAGCCACGUUCUGGAAGUUAGGAUUUUUUAAUUCCCAUAUGACAAAUACAUUUAAUCUCUUGCCUAAAAUCACAGAGUUUAAGUAGCUGGGUUGGGAUCUGGACCCAAGCACUCUGUUUCAGUGGCACACCCAGAGUGCUUAGCAUCAAUGUAGAUCACUUUUUUAAUAUCUUGUUCCCUGUCUGACAACAUUAUUUUAAUAAGGUUCAUGUCAUAAUCAAUAACAAUCCUUUUCUUGAUUCACUCUAAUUUUAAGACAACUGAAUUUCUGGAAAGAACGGUAAAUUAGAGCUUUUUAAAAACUCAGUAGUUAAUCUGUGAAACAAAACAUGCACUUGCCAAACAAAAACAUGACACCUGUAUUUCUCCAUUUCACAGUUUAUAAAGUUUUCAAGCCCAGUGAUCACAUAAAAUGACAAUUCCAAUGACUCAAGUUUGGUUUCCUUAUUCUUAUCAUUUUUGUGUUAUUAUUAUUUAUUUGAAUUUCCAUGUAAACUAAGGAAUAUGUAUCACCAGUGGGUAAAGCCACCAGAUGUGUCCUAGGAAAGUCUGAACAAUUACGCCUCCUUGGGAAUUCAUUUUUAAAAGGUACGGGUAUGGCUGAGUCUACAUGGGACAGAGGUCAAUCGUACAAUCAGGAAUUCUCAGAAUUGAUUUCUCUAUGGGAACACUCUGUCAUCAAAAGCGAUAUAACAAAUGUGUUAAUUUGGAGCUUACGUAUGAUUGUGAAAACUUGGUAGUGACUUGGUAGCAAUUAUUUGGAACUCAGUCGAACAAAGGAUGUUUUCAGGGAGCACCUGGGUGGCUCAGUCAGUUGAGGGUCCGACUCUUGAUUUGGCUCAGGUCAUGAUCUCAGGGCCUCAUCUGAGGUGGAGCCUUGCUCUGGGCUCCGUGCUCAGCAGGGAGUCUGUUGGGAUUCUCUCCCAAACGAUGUUUAGAUGUUCUCAAGG